Molecule: non-coding RNA, 115 nt
Organism: Triticum aestivum (bread wheat)
Lineage: Eukaryota; Viridiplantae; Streptophyta; Magnoliopsida; Poales; Poaceae
Source: Rfam
AUAUUACUCCCUCCGUUCGGAAUUACUUGUCUCGGAAAUGGAUGUAUCUAGAACUAAAAUACGUCUAAAUACAUCCAUUUCCGAGACAAGUAAUUCCGAAGGGAGGGAGUAGGAG